GAUGAAGAACGUAGCGAAAUGCGAUAAGUAAUGUGAAUUGCAGAAUCCAGUGAAUCAUCGAAUCUUUGAACGCACAUUGCGCCCGCCAGCAUUCUGGCGGGCAUGCCUGUUCGGGCGUCAUUUCAACCCUCGACCUCCCCUUGGGGAGGUCGGCGUUGGGGACCGGCAGCACACCGCCGGCCCUGAAAUGGAGUGGCGGCCCGUCCGCGGCGACCUCUGCGCAGUAAUACAGCUCGCACCGGGACCCCGACGCGGCCACGCCGUAAAACACCCAACUUCUGAACGUUGACCUCGAAUCAGGUAGGACUACCCGCUGAACUUAAGCAUAUCAAUAAGCGGAGGA
RNAcentral lists this unclassified non-coding RNA (343 nucleotides) under soil metagenome. RNAcentral's name for it is "partial contains 5.8S ribosomal RNA, internal transcribed spacer 2, and large subunit ribosomal RNA". The stretch from base 1 to 120 matches the Rfam family "5.8S ribosomal RNA", at positions 35 to 154 of the family's 154-position model. The record is from RNAcentral.